GUUCCCGGGGCACGUCCUCCAGGGCCAGGACGUGGGGAAGCAGAAAGCUGCCUGGCUCAGCCUCUCAGGGUCAGGCAGGUGCAGGGUUAGCCUAAAACCAGCGCCCCUCCUGCCUCUCAGGCGGUUCACAGCUCCCCGCCUGAGCUUAGCGGUUCAUGACACCCAGUUCUCAGAGCUCGGUUGCGGUGGGGGGGGGGGGGGGCCGAGAGCUUUGCCCAGCCUGGCUCUCCCUGGACGCACAGUCAGUGGCAACUCUGGGGACCCUGAGACUUAAGCUCAGAGUGGCCCUGAUGUAGAGCCUGCGGUCCACGGUCAGCGCUGCCCCCUCCCCAGUUUCCCAGACCCCGGGGUGUGGGGUGGGAGCAGGGAGACCUCCGGCCGGCAGCUGGACUCCCCUUGGCUUUGACAGACGCUGUGUGUCAGCAGAACCGCCACCCCCUCGGCCGCCAUGAAGCUCAUUUCCCCCAGAGAUUUCGUGGACUUGGUGUUGGUCAAGAAGUACGAGGAUGGGACUCUCAGCUCCAACGCUGUCAACGUGGAACAUCCGUCAUGCCCCCCGAGGCCGGGGUACGUGAGAGGGUUCAACCACCCUUGUGGUUGCUUCUGCGAACCUCUGCCCGGGUGAGAUUGACCUCCUGCAUGGAAUUAUGUGCCCAGACCCACGCGUAGCUUAAUUGUGGACCUUUCGUUCAUGGGGCGCGUUAAUUACGAUUUGCAGUCAUAAAAAUGCCUUCUGGCUCUGUAGGCUUUGA
Herpailurus yagouaroundi (jaguarundi) is the source of this 752-nucleotide long non-coding RNA. RefSeq lists it as uncharacterized. Lineage: Eukaryota; Metazoa; Chordata; Mammalia; Carnivora; Felidae. The transcript has 2 exons. The record is from RefSeq and is a predicted model, not a curated record.